AAUUAGUGGCGAACGGGUGAGUAACACGUGAGUAACCUGCCCUUGACUCUGGGAUAACCUCCGGAAACGGAAGCUAAUACCGGAUACGACGUACGGAGGCAUCUCCUGUACGUGGAAAGAACUUGGUCAAGGAUGGACUCGCGGCCUAUCAGGUAGUUGGUGAGGUAACGGCUCACCAAGCCUACGACGGGUAGCCGGCCUGAGAGGGUGACCGGCCACACUGGGACUGAGACACGGCCCAG
Molecule: ribosomal RNA, 242 nt
Filed under: uncultured bacterium
Lineage: Bacteria
Description: partial 16S ribosomal RNA
Rfam family: Bacterial small subunit ribosomal RNA
Source: RNAcentral